This 254-nucleotide ribosomal RNA is filed under the name uncultured bacterium. RNAcentral describes it as "partial 16S ribosomal RNA". It matches the Rfam family "Bacterial small subunit ribosomal RNA", at positions 524 to 776 of the family's 1533-position model. The record is from RNAcentral.
UACGUAGGGUGCAAGCGUUGUCCGGAAUUAUUGGGCGUAAAGAGCUCGUAGGCGGCUUGUUGCGUCGACUGUGAAAACCCACGGCUCAACUGUGUGGUCUGCAGUCGAUACGGGCAAGCUAGAGUUCGGUAGGGGAGACUGGAAUUCCUGGUGUAGCGGUGAAAUGCGCAGAUAUCAGGAGGAACACCGGUGGCGAAGGCGGGUCUCUGGGCCGAUACUGACGCUGAGGAGCGAAAGCGUGGGGAGCGAACAGG